Molecule: long non-coding RNA, 4292 nt
Filed under: Sarcophilus harrisii (Tasmanian devil)
Lineage: Eukaryota; Metazoa; Chordata; Mammalia; Dasyuromorphia; Dasyuridae
Description: lncRNA (ENSSHAG00000031185.1)
Source: RNAcentral
GGAGCAAUUGUAAAGAAAAAUGGAGGGGAGCACUAAGAAGCAAGAAGCAAAGGUGGCAAAUGAGCCAACUGAUUCCACCCUCGAAAAACAGCCAGCCCCAACCCCCCCACAAGGGGAAUCGGAAGCCGAUAGUUCCGAGGAAGAAGUUCCCCAAGAGCUGAAAGUGUGGGGCUACGGAGGGGCCGAAGGGGGGGGCUGCUGGCUGCAGGAGGAGGCCUUGAGCAUUCCUGGAUCGGCGGAGGAGGAUGAGGAGAGUGAGGCUAUCCAAGCCAUGGCGCUCGGGGUGGAAUUACAGUGCAGGCUCCAGCUCCACCUGGAUCAGCUGGAGGCCAAGGCCAAAUCCAGGGCCAGGGCCAGGGCCAGGGCCAGGGCCAGGGCCGCGAUGGCUGCCAGACGGGGCAGCCCGGAACGCGCCCUGGGAGCUUCGGCAAGUCCGGCAGCCGCGGCCCGCCCUCAGCCCUUGGUGGUCCGGGGCAGUCGGGGGGAGCCCCACAUCCGAGCUCAAGAGACGGAGGCCUCCCUGGGGCAGGCCCCUGAGGAAGUCAAACCAGGUGUGAAGGGAGGCCGAGAUCCAUUCGGGGCUCCCGUUCGGAAAACGGGAAAGGGCCCCAGAGGAAAGGAAGCUGCUGCUAAAGCUCGGGAAGGUCCGCCGGCCUCUAAUCCUCCUAGUAUCUGCCAGAGAAGAGAGAACUACCCAAAUCUGGAGCUGAAAGGCUCGAGAGCCACGUUCUCAGGGACCCCAGUAGCCAGAAGCCGGGAGAGACCCCAAGUCCGCUCGGGGAGCAGCUGGAGAGGUGAGACCAGGGAGCCCUUCCGCCCGCCCACCACGUGCCUUCCUCAUCUGCUCUUUGCUUCAUCUCUCAAUGAAAAACCCAAGUUGCGCUUGGACAAGACCUCAGCCCGAAGCCCGGCCGAGCUCCCCGGGCCUCCAUUCCCCCUCUUUCAAAGAAGACGAUGACCGUUGGGAUCUUUCCAGCUCAGUGUCUGCUCCUCAUUCUCGGCCUCUUUCCGCCCCUCAGACCCUGCCGCGUGACCUUAGAAAGCCCCUUCCCCUCCCCCCUGUCCCCCUGCCUAACUGUCUCAUCUGUCUCUCUCGGACAUGCUCCGAACACAGGUUGCCCGUAUUUCCCAGCUAGCAUCGGGGUUCCUCUCCCCUCACCUCCAGCACGGAGCCCUAGUGUAUGGCAGGUGCCCCCCGCCAGGAAGGCCAAUGGGGGGGGGGGGGUUUGGCCCCUGCCCCCGGGUUCUCCUGCCCCUGGGUUCAGAUGUGUUUGUGUGCGCUCGCGUGACCCCAGGCAAGUCCCUUCUCUUGAAGCCUCAGUUUCCUCCUUUGCCCCCGGCGAAUGGAGGGGGCUGGGCAUCCACACCCUGGAAGCUCUUUUCCAGCCCUUGCCUCGCGUGUCUGUGCGCGAGUUCGGGCCCACGGCCGUCCCCCGCCGUCGUCAGCACGGCCACUUCUGCCGCCUCGGCCGCACCCCGCAGACUCUCGUGGUGUCCCAUACGUGCGGCCCCCUCCCCCACCCCCGGCACCCGGCCCACACUCCUCCAGAAGCAGAGGAGGCCUCUGUCUACCCCUCUCCACCUUGCGGCCCGUCUGAGCCAGAGACGUCUGCCGGUGGCAGGAAGGAAGAGUCCCAAGCUCCCGGCAAGUCUCCCGCUCCAGGGCCUCCAGCAGAAGAAAAUACAAAGGAAGAGCCUCUAGCGGGAACUGAAGGCCUCGUUCCCACGAGUCCCCACGCAGGUAAGACUGUGACUUUUCCCUUCAUCUGGGUCAGGGAAAACGAGAGACCGAGGUGGAAAGGGCCUCGGAGAUUAGCCCCUCCCUCCCGUGGAGAAACUGAGGCACAGAGCCAAGGAUUGACUUGUUACAGGCCUUGCCUCUUAUUCAGAGCUACAAGCCCCGUUAGAAUCUAAGUACCCUAAAUCUCCAGCCCAAGUAACGAGCACGGAGACUCGGGCGGCAGGAACCUCUAGAUGCUAGUGCUACAGAUCCAGGGGCUGGCCCAGAAACAACAGCACCAAGCAGGGCAAACGUGCAUCCCGGGGAUCGCGAGCACACUAGGGAAGGUCCCGGCUUGGGGACGGGGGCCUCACUCAGCCUUGCUCACUCGCUCGGCCCCUUCCAACUUAGGGAGAGAGGAACCCUGGAGCUUCAGUCCACAGUUCCCUCCCCCACCCCCGCUUCUCGGGACGGGACGUCACAGCCUCCAACACAACCAACUCUCACUGAGCUUGGGAGGAUUAGGGACUCUGAGCACACCCUCCCCCCAAUUUCUGACAGCAGGGUAAUGGAGCCAAACUUCCAGCCAGAGAUUCACCCCACUGUACCCAAAGCCAGGAAAAAACACUGAGGGAGGAAGAAAGUCUUCUCUUCUCUGUGUGGGUGAUGAGGAAUAGCUCAGGUCAGGGAGGCCGGGGGCUUAGGGGGAGGCGCAGCGGGCUUCAGGAAAUCAGGGCGUGCUUAAGGAUCAGGAAGACACCCAGAAGCCUUCUUCGGCUUGGCUGGUACCACACCCUUGUCCCCCAGGCCUGGACACAGGGGGCUGGUCUGGAUGGAAAUAUUGUGAAAUAAGGCAGAAGGAGGAAGUAAGCCGGAGACAGAGAAGGAAGGAGACAGAGAGAGAAAGGAAAAUGAGAGAGAGAAAAGAAAGAAACAAAGAAAAAGACAGAGAAAGAAAAAGAAAGAAAAAAAAGAGAGAGAGAAAACAGGAGGGAGGGAGACAGAGAAAGGAAAAUGAGAGAGAAAACGGAAGGAGACAGAGGGAGAAAGGAAAAUGAGAAACAAAGAAAAUGAAAGUGUACGAGAGAAAACAGAAGGAGGAAGGGAAACAAAACAGGGAGAAAAGAAAAUGAGAGAGAGAGAAAACAGAAGGAGGGAGGGAGACGGAGAAAGGAAAAUGAGAGAAAAAGAAUGAGAGGAAGAGGGAGAACAGGCAGGUUUUUGGCCAGUGUGUGCAGUGAUUUCAGAGGCCAAGAAUGAGGCCUAUUUCCUUCCCUUUGUUUCUCGGAGUAGCCUUUUCCCAGGUCCCAAUGCAGAGGGGGAAUGAGGCUGGUCAAUACAAUAAUUGCUUGGAAAACAGGCAGGCACGGGGAGGCCCGUCCGGGACAGCUUCCUGGUAUUAUGGAGACUCGGGGUUGGAGGCUGCUGCUGCUUAGACUAAAGAGGGGAAAAGAGGCACAAAAGAGACACUUUCCUCAAGUUGCUGUAGGACCUGCAGGGCCGGCCUCAGUGGGCCCGGGGUGUGGACGCCACUCUAGUCUCUUCCUUCAGAUAAGCCGGGCUUCCCCAGAAGCCCGUGCUGAUUUUCUCCCGAUGGAGCCAGAAGCUAAAGUCUUCCUCCACGGCUGGUGCUGGGAAACAUUUGAGUAAAACACGGCCCGUCAGAGCCAGAAGGGAUCUGGGGGACCCUUGUCCUAUAGAGGAGAAGGACCGGGGGGCGGGAUAGAGCUCAGUCCCAGAGUGGGAAAAGGUGCCGCAGUUAGUGACAGGUCAGGAGAGCAAGCCUACUAACCACCCAGCUCCCCUCGUUUGGGUGCUGCAGCAAGCGCCAGGGGGGUACCCUGGGCCUCGGUCUCCAUGAAGAGAAGCCUCCAGAAGCGAAGCAGUCCCUGCCUCAGUGAGCUCAUGUGGUGCUGGAGGAGAUGGAAGAAGGAGUGAAAAAGCAAGAGACGCAGGGUGCCGGGCUGGGCCCUGCCACGGGGCCCAGUGGGGAAUGGCUUCCUGGAAAAGGGAGGCAGCCCCGGGGCUGCUCAGUGAAGAUGAUCCGUAAGGUGCACGGGAGUCGCUCGGGACCCUCUUCUCCCCCAGGCCCCACUUGAGCUGCUAGGUCAGAGCCUUACGUCUCCUGUUGGAACCACACCCCGCCAGACGCCCGGCCGGCCGUUGGGCCUUAGGAGUCUCUUGAGGGAGGGGCCCCUGCUCAGAGGCCCUGGUCCCCGGUUUUGGAAUCCUUAAGUCCAAGCAGUUCCCUGGGGUCUCCGGAGGACCUAGAGCCGGUGGGGUGCUGGAAGGUUGGGAUCUGCCACCCUUUAGGCUCCUCUCUCCGCCUUGUCACCGAGAUCUCGGUUACGUCCCCCCUACUUGCUGGGGCCGUCUCCCCAGUUACCCCGUCUCCCUUAAGCUCCCUCCCAUCCCUAAGUCUUGAACCUGGGGAGCCAGGCUGGGCCCCCAGGGAGGGGGGGGGGCGACCUCGGCCACGGUUUGUCUCUGUAGCUCCUCGGUGCCCGGCAUGGAAGAGAGAUUCAAAAAAGGUUUCUAUGGGCCUCCUUUUGGGCUGAGGGAUGGGGAAGGG